RNAcentral lists this unclassified non-coding RNA (425 nucleotides) under Hevea brasiliensis (rubber tree). Lineage: Eukaryota; Viridiplantae; Streptophyta; Magnoliopsida; Malpighiales; Euphorbiaceae. The record is from RNAcentral.
GUCCCCAAGGGUUAACGAACAAAGGUUUGUCUUCAUUAUUAUAGGCAUCGCCAAGAUGCAAUGCUUUCUCUAUUGCAUUCAAGCACAACGCAAAAAACUUCGAUGGGCAAUCUGAGUUUCCGCAAUCCUGUCGUUGAUGAUUACAAUCUUUCCGAUUCAGUUGAAUCUUGGUGGUUUCACUAUCAACAGGGUUUUUGUGACCUAAAUUAUCAUUUGAAAUGAUUGGAUUUUUUAUUUCACUUCUCAGAUGCAAAAGCUUCUCAUUUUUCUGUUCUAGAUGAUCUAUCUCUCUAUUAUUCCUACAAAGGGUGUCUUGACUCAGAUGAGCAUUCUUUCCCCUAGCAAAUACUCCCCUACUCACUUGGGCUGGAACAAUCUUUUUCUUAUCUUUUACUUUAAAAUCCAUUUUACCAUGCCGCUCAUUG